This is a long non-coding RNA of Lynx canadensis (Canada lynx), 782 nucleotides long. RefSeq lists it as uncharacterized. NCBI's taxonomy places the organism in Eukaryota, Metazoa, Chordata, Mammalia, Carnivora, Felidae. The transcript is spliced from 3 exons. The record is from RefSeq and is a predicted model, not a curated record.
GGCCGGGCGGCUUGGGGAGAAGGCGCGGGGCCGGGGCGGCUGCAGCGGAGACGCGGCCCGGCCUCACGGCGCCUCGGGGUCUCGCAGCUUGCCGUCGACAUGCAGAACGACGCCGGAGAGUUCGUGGACCUGUACGUGCCGCGGAAAAUGCUCCGCCAGCAACCGCAUCAUCGGCGCCAAGGACCCGCGUCCAUCCAGAUGAACGUGGCCGAGGUGAGCCGGCGGAGGCAACGGCCCGUCCCGCCCGGGGUAAAGCCCCCGGCGGCCGAGCCAGUCGGGGUGGCCUACGGGCUGAGCCUCCCGACCCCAGAUCUUUAGGAUUCGCGUUGACGAUUUGCAGGUUGCAAGGUGACGGUAGGUUUAACGGCCAGUUUAAAACCUCUGCGAUCUGCGGGCUAUCCGGAGGAUGGUGAGUUUUCCCUGGCUUUGCGCACCGGGUGUGCGGUUGGUGGGAAGGGAUCUUCCUUUCGGAGGCUCGAGUAGAUUUGUGGCAGAGUGGGUGAACUUGUGGGGCUGUGCUAGCCGCCUGUUCUUCCUGCCGCGGUAGGGGUGGCUAAGGGGCCCAAGAUAGGAACCCCUGAGAAAGCCUCAGGUACCCCCCCACCCCCCGCCCCCCAUAAUCAGGUAUGAGGCCCUUUGCCCGCCUCUCCACUGGACCUCCUGCCAGCUGGGUUUAGCAGGGGUGAUAGUCGAGCACUUUUUUCCAGGGUGAGUCUGAUGACUCCAUUCUACGACUGGCCAAGCCGCGGCAUCGUUUCAAGUAAGAACUUCUGACCAGAGAG